UGAAUACGAGACGCUAAGGCGUCGAAGUAGUGUAUGUCAUACUUCCAAGAAAAGCUUGCACUGUCAUAGAUAAAAAACGCCUGUACCAUAACCGACACAGGUGGGUAGGUAGAGUAUACUAAGGGGCGCGAGAUAACUCUCUCUAAGGAACUCGGCAAAAUAACUCCGUAACUUUGGGAGAAGGAGUGCCUUAUUCGUAAGGUUGCAAUAACAAGAUCCAAGCAACUGUUUAUCAAAAACACAGGUCUCCGCUAAGUCGUAAGACGAUGUAUGGGGGCUGACGCCUGCCCAGUGCCAGAAGGUUAAAGAAGUUGGUUAGCAAUUGCGAAGCUGAUAACUGAAGCCCUGGUGAACGGCGGCCGUAACGAUAACGGUCCUAAGGUAGCGAAAUUCCUUGUCGGGUAAGUUCCGACCCGCACGAAAGGCGUAAUGAUUUGGAUACUGUCUCGGAGAGGGGCUCGGUGAAAUAGACUUGUCUGUGAAGAUGCGGACUACCUGCACCAGGACAGAAAGACCCUAUGAAGCUUUACUGUAACUUGAAAUUGAAAUUGGACUUUAUUCGCGCAGUAUAGGUGGGAGGCGUUGAUUAUAAUCUUGUGGGAUUAUUGGAGCCAUCAGUGAGAUACCACUCUUGUAAUGUUAGAUUUCUAACUUUGAAUCAUUAUCUGGUCAAAGAACAGUUUCAGGCGGGCAGUUUGACUGGGGCGGUCGCCUCCUAAACGGUAACGGAGGCGCACAAAGGUUUCCUCUGAACGGUUAGAAAUCGUAUCUAGAGUGUAAAGGCAUAAGGAAGCUUGACUGUGAGACCUACAAGUCGAGCAGGGACGAAAGUCGGUCUUAGUGAUCUGACGGUACUGAGUGGAAAGGCCGUCACUCAACGGAUAAAAGUUACUCUAGGAUAACAGGCUGAUCUCCCCCAAGAGUUCACAUCGACGGGGAGGUUUGGCACCUCGAUGUCGGCUCAUCGCAUCCUGGGGCGGUAGUACGUCCCAAGGGUUGGGCUGUUCGCCCAUGAAAGCGGUACGCGAGCUGGGUUCAGAACGUCGUGAGACAGUUCGGUCCAUAUCCGGUGUAGGCGUUAGAAUAUUGAGAGGAGCCUUCUUUAGUACGAGAGGACCGAGAAGGACAUACCUCUGGUGUACCAGUUAUCGUGCCAACGGUAAACGCUGGGUAGCUAUGUAUGGAGUGGAUAACCGCUGAAAGCAUCUAAGUGGGAAGCCCACCUCAAGAUAAGUAUUCUCAUCA
Molecule: ribosomal RNA, 1245 nt
Filed under: metagenome
Description: bacterial LSU rRNA
Rfam family: Bacterial large subunit ribosomal RNA
Source: RNAcentral